AUGAUGAUCUUUUACUUACGAAAACUAGGUACAGUACUUAAAAGAGGAAAACUUGUUUAAAAUUGAGUUCCCGAAAGACUUUUAUAAAUUGUUAUUUUAAAUAGAUGGAGAGUUGUCUCAUUAGCACUCAUACCACAUCUUCCUAUAUCUAGUAUUGAGUUAUGACCCAGUACCUAAAAGAGUAACAUUCAGUUUUAAAUCAGGAGUUUAAAGGGUAGUGUUCAGUUUUCUGGAAUGGUAAGGGUAUGAUUACAGAUAAGGACAUGUGGUUUGAUUGCCAAUGAGACAACUUUCUUUCAGAGACCAAAGGACAAAAACAUGAAGUGUCACCCAUACAUAUACUAUGACAUCAAUGCUUGUUAUUUAUGCAUCUUUUGAGACCUGAAAUCACAAUUAUGUCACAUUAUUGUAAAGGUAAACCUGUUUUAUUGUGAAGUAUGAUUUAUCAAAG
Molecule: long non-coding RNA, 451 nt
Filed under: Mytilus galloprovincialis (Mediterranean mussel)
Lineage: Eukaryota; Metazoa; Mollusca; Bivalvia; Mytilida; Mytilidae
Source: RNAcentral